Molecule: non-coding RNA, 24 nt
Filed under: Arabidopsis thaliana (thale cress)
Lineage: Eukaryota; Viridiplantae; Streptophyta; Magnoliopsida; Brassicales; Brassicaceae
Source: RNAcentral
AACCGGCGAUUGUGACGCCGCCGA